Non-coding RNA from Nylanderia fulva, 336 nucleotides. The record is from RefSeq and is a predicted model, not a curated record. NCBI's taxonomy places the organism in Eukaryota, Metazoa, Arthropoda, Insecta, Hymenoptera, Formicidae.
AUCAGAAGCAUAUAAAUGCGCGUUGAAUUUAAUUCCACAAUAUGAAAGCAUAAGUGAAAAUUUUACGUUGAAAGUUAGUGAAAUUGAUAAUUACAGAUUUGUUUUGGCGUGUAAAUAAAGAAAGGAAAUUAGUGUGUUAGGUGCAUUCACACUCUCAAUUUUUCUAUAUUCUUAGAUGUUUUAUUCUAGUUGGAACAAAUUAUAGCUUCAAUAUAUAUUUAAAAAAAAUAAAAUAAAGCUUCUAAAGUAUUAAUCUUAACCUUAAAGUAUCGUCAAAAAUAUCGAUACAUACCUAUUUACACAAGAUUAUACUGAGUUCAAUGCAGUGAAUGCUUC